UUUGGAACCUUACCUGGGCUAGAAUGUAUUUUGAUACCUUGAGAAAUUGAGGGUUCCUUCGGGACAAGGUACAAGGUGCUGCAUGGCUGUCGUCAGCUCGUGCCGUGAGGUGUUGGGUUAAGUCCUAUAACGAGCGAAACCCUUUUACUUAAUUGCCAGCACGUAAUGGUGGGGACUUUAAGUACACUGCCCGUGUAAGCGGGAGGAAGGAGAGGAUGAGGUCAAGUCAUCAUGGCCUUUAUGCCCAGGGCUACACACGUACUACAAUGGCAUGUACAAAGGGAAGCUACUUGGUAACAAGAUGCAAAUCUCAAAAGCAUGUCUCAGUUCGGAUUGAGGUCUGCAAUUCGACCUCAUGAAGUUGGAAUCGCUAGUAAUCGCGUAUCAGCAAUGACGCGGUGAAUACGUUCUCGGACCUUGUACACACCGCCCAUCAAGCCACGGGAGUUGGUAGAGCUUGAAGACAGUGGCAAA
This 474-nucleotide ribosomal RNA is filed under the name Cardinium endosymbiont of Platygastridae sp. Its description in RNAcentral is "bacterial SSU rRNA". It matches the Rfam family "Bacterial small subunit ribosomal RNA", at positions 962 to 1437 of the family's 1533-position model. The record is from RNAcentral. Lineage: Bacteria; Pseudomonadati; Bacteroidota; Cytophagia; Cytophagales; Amoebophilaceae.